RNAcentral lists this transfer RNA (64 nucleotides) under Bovicola bovis (cattle chewing louse). RNAcentral describes it as "tRNA-Val". Lineage: Eukaryota; Metazoa; Arthropoda; Insecta; Psocodea; Bovicoliidae. The record is from RNAcentral.
GAGGGGGAGUUUGGUUAGAAAUUCCUAGCUUACAACUAGGGGACCCAGUAUAACUGGCCCCUCA